This 552-nucleotide ribosomal RNA is filed under the name uncultured bacterium. Its description in RNAcentral is "partial 16S ribosomal RNA". It matches the Rfam family "Bacterial small subunit ribosomal RNA", at positions 355 to 895 of the family's 1533-position model. The record is from RNAcentral.
UGGGGAAUAUUGCACAAUGGGCGCAAGCCUGAUGCAGCCAUGCCGCGUGUGUGAAGAAGGCCUUCGGGUUGUAAAGCACUUUCAGCGAGGAGGAAGGGUAGUGUGUUAAUAGCACAUUGCAUUGACGUUACUCGCAGAAGAAGCACCGGCUAACUCCGUGCCAGCAGCCGCGGUAAUACGGAGGGUGCAAGCGUUAAUCGGAAUUACUGGGCGUAAAGCGCACGCAGGCGGUUUGUUAAGUCAGAUGUGAAAUCCCCGCGCUUAACGUGGGAACUGCAUUUGAAGCUGGCAAGCUAGAGUCUUGUAGAGGGGGGUAGAAUUCCAGGUGUAGCGGUGAAAUGCGUAGAGAUCUGGAGGAAUACCGGUGGCGAAGGCGGCCCCCUGGACAAAGACUGACGCUCAGGUGCGAAAAGCGUGGGGAGCAAAACAGGAUUAGAUACCCUGGUAGUCCACGCUGUAAACGAUGUCGACUUGGAGGUUGUGCCCUUGAGGCGUGGCUUCCGGAGCUAACGCGUUAAGUCGACCGCCUGGGGGAGUACGGCCGCAAAGGUU